Molecule: ribosomal RNA, 504 nt
Filed under: uncultured bacterium
Lineage: Bacteria
Description: partial 16S ribosomal RNA
Rfam family: Bacterial small subunit ribosomal RNA
Source: RNAcentral
AUUGAACGCUGGCGGCAGGCCUAACACAUGCAAGUCGAACGGUAGCACAGAGAGCUUGCUCUUGGGUGACGAGUGGCGGACGGGUGAGUAACGUCUGGGAAACUGCCCGAUGGAGGGGGAUAACUACUGGAAACGGUAGCUAAUACCGCAUAACGUCGCAAGACCAAAGUGGGGGACCUUCGGGCCGCACACCAUCGGAUGUGCCCAGAUGGGAUUAGCUAGUAGGUGGGGUAAUGGCUCACCCAGGCGACGAUCCCUAGCUGGUCUGAGAGGAUGACCAGCCACACUGGAACUGAGACACGGUCCAGACUCCUACGGGAGGCAGCAGUGGGGAAUAUUGCACAAUGGGCGCAAGCCUGAUGCAGCCAUGCCGCGUGUAUGAAGAAGGCCUUCGGGUUGUAAAGUACUUUCAGCGGGGAGGAAGGCGGUGAAGUUAAUAGCUUCACCGAUUGACGUUACCCGCAGAAGAAGCACCGGCUAACUCCGUGCCAGCCGCCGCGGUAA